CACAUCCCGUCAAACGAGUCUGCUUCAGGACAGAUUGUCAACAGAGUUUGGUUGUCUUUUUUUUUCCUUUCAUGUUGGAGGAAUGUCACUCGGCCAGUGCGAGUGAGCGUCAUGAAACUUUGCUGCAGUGAAAAGAUGCAGACGAGAAAAACACAACAAUAGAAGAGGUUGGGCAACAUUCCAAACUGAACAACAUGUCAUCAUCAUCAUCGCCGACUCUGGCCAUGAAACAGGGAGUCGCCGGAUGAAGACGGUCGGUCACACAGGCCGGAAUACGGCGCAACCUCGAAAUACGAACGAUGGAUAAGCAGUGGUUGCUUCCCGAUGUAUUUUUUGCCACAUUAAAAUGAAACUUAAUCA
Long non-coding RNA from Syngnathus typhle (broad-nosed pipefish), 360 nucleotides. RefSeq lists it as uncharacterized. The record is from RefSeq and is a predicted model, not a curated record. The transcript has 3 exons. Lineage: Eukaryota; Metazoa; Chordata; Actinopteri; Syngnathiformes; Syngnathidae.